AAUAAAAAUGCGGCAAACAUGUUCCUUCAAAUGCAGAUUGAACUGCAAGACUUGAGAAUAUUGCAGGAGAUGGUUGUGAUCUUCCCUCAACAACUGAAGAA
Molecule: long non-coding RNA, 101 nt
Organism: Anopheles merus
Lineage: Eukaryota; Metazoa; Arthropoda; Insecta; Diptera; Culicidae
Exons: 3
Source: RefSeq, a predicted model, not a curated record